AUGCAGCAUGCAGCAGCUUUGCUUGGCUUCUCAGCUGCUGACCUCCUCCUGCAUAUCCGAGGAGCUGCCGCCGCUUGUGACGCAGCUGGAAGACGACGACGACGGCGAUGGCGGCAUCGUGCGGCGCGCGUCGGUGCCGUGGAUGCCCGGCGUUUGUAUGUUGGACGACGACGACGACCUGUCCCUUUGAAAGAUCCGGCACACUACCCACUCUUCAGUUCCAGCCCCAGCCAAGCAGCAACGCUGCAAGUUGCGAUGAUCGUCUUAAUUAAGCACACCUUUUCCAUUCCAGCAACAACAAUUGAUGGCAGAUAUGCAAUGCAAGCAUGCAGCACAAGGAAAAAAAAAGAAUCCGAUGCAAAAUGA
RNAcentral lists this ribosomal RNA (366 nucleotides) under Triticum aestivum (bread wheat). RNAcentral describes it as "partial small subunit ribosomal RNA". Lineage: Eukaryota; Viridiplantae; Streptophyta; Magnoliopsida; Poales; Poaceae. The record is from RNAcentral.